AUUUAAGAAUUUAAGAAUUUAAGAAUUUAAGAAUUUAAGAAUUUAAGAAUUUAAGAAUUUAAGAAUUUAAGAAUUUAAGAAUUUAAGAAUUUAAGAAUUUAAGAAUUUAAGAAUUUAAGAAUUUAAGAAUUGAGGAAUUGAGGAAUUUAAGAAUUUAAGAAUCUAAGAAUUUAAGAAUUCAGAAAAAAAAAAUAAACAUUUGUUCCCAAUUUGUACCAGCCUUAUUUAAUAAUUUCCAAAUUUCCUGACUUCCUAAUUUCCUAGUUUCCGAAUAUCCUAUUUUCCUUAUUUCCUAAUUUCUGUAUUUCCAAAUUUCCUAAUUUCUUAACUUCCUUACUUCCUAAACUCCUAAUUUCCUAGUUUCCUAAUUUCCUAACUUCCUAAUUUCCUGAUUUCCUAAUUUCCUAAUUUCCUAAUUUCCUAACUUCCUAAUGUCCUUACUUCCUAAUUUCCUAACUUCCUAACUACUUUAGCUUCCUAAUUUCCUAGUUUCCUGAUAUGCUAAUUUCCCAAUUUCCUAACUUCCUCACUUCUUAAUAUCCUAAUUUCCUUAUUUAAUUUCCUAAUUUCCUUAUUUAAUUUCCUAAGGAAUACUUCCUAAUUUCAAAUUCCCUGGAGAUGGAACCACACGUUGCCGUCGUUUCAGGGCUAUUUGCCAAGAUGGUUUCCGAUGUUGAUAUAUAUCACACAUUUAUUUUAUAUUUAUAUACUUGUGUUGAUAGAAAUCACAGCUUUUAUAAUAUGUAAAAUUACAAGAUAUUGAAAUUGUUUAUUCGAGUCUCAAUAUUCUUGUUCGUAAAAUCUGUUAGAAACAGGUUUAAAACUGUUUGAUAAUGGGGAGGAAUAGUUAGUUUUUUUGUAACUUUUUCUAGGUUGUUUAAUAAUUCCAGACUUCAGUUAUGUGUAAGCCAGUUUAGUAAUCCUAUCAGAAUUUCUGAUUUCAAUUGAAGUGGUAUACUAACCAUUCUGAAUUGUCCAAAAAUCCAUAGAGUCUCGAUCAAUCAAUAAUGAAAUGAUAUCGGACAAAAUUCGUUAAUCUGUUGAACUAACGGAUUUCGGAUUAUGGUUGUAUCGAUCAUUGUUGCGAAUCGAGGAUCUACUGGAGUUUUGACGAUCAAAUAGAGCCUAACAUUUCAAAAGGACACACAGGUGUGAACAGGAUUGUGUCUCUUUCACUCAAAUUACAUAAGAUAUAUGAUAGGGAUACACUCUUGUUUGCAGAGCUUGUGUGCCCUUAUGAAAUGGAAGGCACGAAAUAGUCGUCUUAACAACGAGUGUUCAACUUGUAAAAUAUGAACGUUUCAUUAAUGUUUAUUGUUUUUGGAAGCAGCAUGACAGGUUUUAAAAAUAGGCAAAGAAAUGUUUGGCUUUGUAAUUAAAAUUUCGGGGAUUUGAGAUUCAAGUUACUUUCAGACAGUUUAGUUGAGGUUGUUGUUUCAAGUUAGUUAGUUUUUCUGAAAUGAAUAAUUGGACAUAAAUGAUUAGUUAAAUUAAAGUUAGUUGCAGUGUACGACAAGACUACUGACGGACGCGACAGGACGGGGUCCAGAAAAAAUGCCCUUGAAAGUUAGUUUUCAUCUUUUAUUUUCCAGUUAAUUUAUUUGAUUACCUUUAGAUUUGAAAUACAUCAUAGGUUCCCUUUGUAUAAAUCUCAAUUGAGUUUUUGAUUGAAUCAUAAUUUCAGAUUUCCUAUAUUCAGUUUUAAAGUUAGAUUAACGUAACUGCUCAAGUCAUCCAAGUUCUUACUACUCACACCUACACUAAUUUUCUUUCACCUUCCCCCUCCCGAUCCCCUAUAUCUUCCGGUGGUGUUCAUUUGGUAUGCAAUACUAGUUCGGCCACUACCCUUUUUUCCUCAAGAAACCGGACUUGGACUGACUUGAGGCCGCGUCCCCCACCUUGCUCCGUAAAACGAAAACGAAAACGAAAACGAAUACUUCCUAAUUUCAAAUUUCCUAAUUUCCAAAUUUCCUAAUUCCCUGCUUUCCUAUAUUUUUUUAAUUUCCUUAUUUCAUAAUUACAUAAUUUUUGAAUUUCCUUAUUUCAUAAUUACAUAAUUUUUUAAUUUCCUUAUUUCAUAAUUACAUAUUUUUUUAAUUAUAGUUUUUCUAGUUUAAGAAUUUAAGAAUUUCGAAUUUUCUGUUUUUUUUUAAGGAAAUGUUCAAUUAUUGAUUUCUUAAUUUUGUUUAUAAUUGUUGUUAAAAGUUCUUGAAUAAACAUUUAUAAUCUACUUAAUUAUAACUUUUGAAUAUUUUUAAUCUUUUUAUUUUUUCCUCGAAAGAACCUCAAGCGCGCACACCGUCAAUCGCGCUCAUACCGAACUGUCAACUUUUCUUGGGGGGGUCACGAAAAGAACACGCAACAUUUCUUGACCGCGUUCCUUCCGAUCAGCAUACCGUACUUUACUUUGAAUUGACAACUAAACUCGAAAUCAAUGACCUGUCAGGUGGUAGAGGUGGUAGACUGGUCGUACAAUUUCAAGGGGUUUUUCGGAGUUUGGUGUAAUCAAAAUUGGGUAGGAGAGCGACUGUACUCUGGAGCAACAUUUGAAAGGGCGGUAUGACAUUGUUCAUACCGCCUCUUUCAAACGUUGUUCCAGUUAUUUUAACUUCAGUAGUGUAGUAAUUGGUUUACUCCGAUUUCACUUGUAGUGUUCGAAAAAAAAAAUCAUUAAAUAAAAUUCACAAGUCGAAAGAGUUCCAAUUCAAGCAAUACAACGUUACCAGAAGGAUGGACUGUUUGUAUAAAAUUCAACUUUGGCCCGUUACAUGUUUUGCUUGAAUUAUUUGUAUAUAUUUUUUCAAGUGGCAUUCUCCUAAAUGAAUCAAUUCUUACUAUUUUUAAGCUUUGUUCCCGAGCUUCAUACAGUUUAUGAAAAUGAAAUAAAUUUAAAUAAAUAUGUACGACUUUGUUUUGAUAUAAUAUCCAAUACAGUAAUCCAAAGGAAGGAAGCUCAUCUUAUAAACAAAUAAGUAUUUCGAUCGGGUUUCAAUCAAUUUCUGAGUAAUCGGUUUAAAAAUUGCUUGAUAUCCAGGUUUUUAAGCGAAGAUGGCGUUCGAAUAGUGAACGCCCGAAAUGUCAAAAUCGCGCAGUAGCACCAACAUUAGAAAAAAAAUGUGGCUGUCAUGCCAUGGCACACUUGUUUUGUAAUGUUGGUACCACUGCGUGAUUUUGACAUUUCGGGCGUUCACCAUUCGAACGCCAUCUUCGCUUAAAAACCUCGAUAGUGCAAAUAUGUCUUUAAAAUGCUCCCAAAACAAAGUUAAGUCGUGAUAGCGGAUAAAACCAGCCUGCAUGACCCACUAAGCUAUUUUGCAUUUUACUUUUGAACGAACAACAAACGUUAUUAAGCAUUAUUAUUUAAGUCCAGUUCUUUUUUUUUAAGUACUAUAAACAUAUGAAACACAAUAGCUUAUUGGACCUUUAAAAAAAAAUCUAGAAGUAUUGGUUCAGAUGGCCGUAAAAUAAAAAUAAAAUUAAGAAAAAGAAGAUUUCUAACAAAUAAAAAUAAAUUUGAAAAAAAAGAAAAAUCAGGCCGAUUAAAACACAUCUAAUCUAAUUCGUCUAUUUCUAGCAAAACAAUGUAAAUGAGCCUAUGUCGAAGUGUAAACAAUGAGUCUAUCCUGUUCAUUCAUAAUGUAAACAUCAUCUGGCGACUUUGGUCCAUUUACAUUGUUUGGCUUGAUUUAUUCCUUACAGUAUGCAUACUCAAUUUUGAGUAAAUGCUUAUUUCGGAGACUCCCUUUUUGCAUGCCAAAUUUUGCGUGCAAACUCCGAAAAAAAUUGAUUUGUUUGUAAACAUAUUUUGUUUGCGUUUCAAAACUGUCAUUACUGUCAUUAGUGUUGCGAAUUUUCGAAUACAAAAAAACUUCUUUCCAUCUAAUUUAAAAGUUUAAUAUAGUUUGCUUAAAAAUUGUCGAGAGUUUACUUGCUGGUAGCGUAACAAUCGAUAGAAAGUUGUACUGAUUCAACCCGGGAUGUAGUCAAAAGCUUUUCCACGGUGGAGCUCCUUUUGUUGCCAACUACGACCAACUUGCGGACAAUCUUUAUUUGAUUUCCAAGCUGCUCACCGAAUUGGAUUCAACACAGAUGGAGAACAAGCCACAUUCAGCAGAAAGUGCCCGGCCCCCAGCAAGUGUACUUCAACAUCUGGAUAUAUUUUUUUUGCAAAAUUGAAAGGUGAGUGUGGCUUGUAAACACAGUUUUUUUUAAACAGAGUUGCAGAAUCAUUUUCUGCAGACGUCUGGUCUAGUGCUGACAAAUUUUGUUUCAAGAUUGAAAUAAUUUUCAUUCUACAAAUAAUUCCGCAGUAAAUUUUCAACAGGGCGAAUCCUUUGAUGUAUACAAACAGCCUGUCCCCCUCUUACUCAACGUAAAUGUCACUAGAGCAAGUGGGAUAGACUGUUUGUUUACAUCCGAGGUUUCGCGCUUUUGUAACUUACGGAACUACGGAAUUCUAAAAACAUAAGCAAACCAAACAUGUUGCCGGAUAAGUUUACGGAUAAGAUCCGGCCAAGAAUUUGUAUGAUUUACCGGGAAGUCGAAAAAAUUGCAACAAAUACCCAACUUCGAACAACAAAAAACAUACAAACUAAUCGUUUACCAGUCGAAAAAGAACUUGCCAGCAAAACUACGAGUACGGUUGUUUUGUUUUGACCCAAUCUAUAGUUUCCCUGAAAAUCAACAGCACACAAAAUAUAAAUCCAACAUUAACUUGUGAUGACGAUUCUUCAAAA
Long non-coding RNA from Culex pipiens pallens (northern house mosquito), 4736 nucleotides. RefSeq lists it as uncharacterized. The record is from RefSeq and is a predicted model, not a curated record. NCBI's taxonomy places the organism in Eukaryota, Metazoa, Arthropoda, Insecta, Diptera, Culicidae. The transcript is spliced from 2 exons.